UCGUUUGCGACGCCCAACACACAAAACAAGCGGUGAGUGCUUUGGGGUGGGGUGACUGCGUACCUUUUGUAUAAUGGGUCAGCGACUUAUAUUCUGUAGCAAGGUUAACCGUAUAGGGGAGCCGAAGGGAAACCGAGUCUUAACUGGGCGUUAAGUUGCAGGGUAUAGACCCGAAACCCGGUGAUCUAGCCAUGGGCAGGUUGAAGGUUGGGUAACACUAACUGGAGGACCGAACCGACUAAUGUUGAAAAAUUAGCGGAUGACUUGUGGCUGGGGGUGAAAGGCCAAUCAAACCGGGAGAUAGCUGGUUCUCCCCGAAAGCUAUUUAGGUAGCGCCUCGUGAACUCAUCUUCGGGGGUAGAGCACUGUUUCGGCUAGGGGGUCAUCCCGACUUACCAACCCGAUGCAAACUGCGAAUACCGAAGAAUGUUAUCACGGGAGACACACGGCGGGUGCUAACGUCCGUCGUGAAGAGGGAAACAACCCAGACCGCCAGCUAAGGUCCCAAAGUCACAGUUAAGUGGGAAACGAUGUGGGAAGGCUCAGACAGCCAGGAUGUUGGCUUAGAAGCAGCCAUCAUUUAAAGAAAGCGUAAUAGCUCACUGGUCGAGUCGGCCUGCGCGGAAGAUGUAACGGGGCUAAACUGUGCACCGAAGCUGCGGCAGCGACGCUUAUGCGUUGUUGGGUAGGGGAGCGUUCUGUAAGCCUGCGAAGGUGUCCUGUGAGGGAUGCUGGAGGUAUCAGAAGUGCGAAUGCUGACAUAAGUAACGAUAA
RNAcentral lists this ribosomal RNA (774 nucleotides) under Salmonella enterica subsp. enterica serovar Kentucky. Its description in RNAcentral is "partial 23S ribosomal RNA". It matches the Rfam family "Bacterial large subunit ribosomal RNA", at positions 566 to 1315 of the family's 2925-position model. Lineage: Bacteria; Pseudomonadati; Pseudomonadota; Gammaproteobacteria; Enterobacterales; Enterobacteriaceae. The record is from RNAcentral.